Salmo salar (Atlantic salmon) is the source of this 633-nucleotide long non-coding RNA. RefSeq lists it as uncharacterized. NCBI's taxonomy places the organism in Eukaryota, Metazoa, Chordata, Actinopteri, Salmoniformes, Salmonidae. The record is from RefSeq and is a predicted model, not a curated record.
CCCACAUUCAUUGCAUUCAUGUCUUGGCCUCUGAGUAUGAGCAGCACAGCAGCAGAAACGGAUGGGGGAGGGGAGGCAGAAACAAACUCCGUACACACAGCCAGGCCCUUCCGCAGCCGACCGACUAGUACACAACUUUGCAACACUAUUUGCCUACUAAAAUAGUUUCUAACUUCCUUUGAGGACAUGCUGGACAAUCACUCCUACUUCCUAAUCAGCAGGAACGAAGACAAAAGACAUUCCGAUCUCUCAGCUGUAUGUCACUAAUUCAUGUACCCAUUCAAAAUGCUCAAGUUCUGUUCCAACUAUUUCAGUGGCUGUGACUGAAUAAUAUGCAGCUCAAGCUUUCAAUAAACAGGCAAUGACAGCCAUAACGGCCGACUGAGAUUGAGAGGGAACAGAAUGAGACCUGCAGAUGUUCCUUUGACUUCCUUUCACACUGCUCUCGAGAACCACUGUUGGCUAUAGAGAGAUCUUUCGAAAUAGGCAUUGACUCAAUACUACUGUAAAUAUAGUAAUUGCCACCAUUCUAGCUUCACUACGAACAGUUUUAAGAUGCAGAGAUGGAUGGACGAAGCAUACAUACAAUGCAUACACCGUAAUUUUUCUUAAUAAACAUGAAUAAAUCCUUAA